This 789-nucleotide long non-coding RNA is filed under the name Glycine max (soybean). RNAcentral describes it as "long non-coding RNA (GMAX_LNC002743)". The record is from RNAcentral. Lineage: Eukaryota; Viridiplantae; Streptophyta; Magnoliopsida; Fabales; Fabaceae.
GGAAGGGGUUUUUGGAGGGUUUGGAGUGUAGGGAGGUUGAGAAAUAGGAGAGGGAGUGUUUGGAGGGGUUGGGACAUAAGGUUGGUUGCCAGGGGAAGGUGUUUUUGGAGGAGUGGGAACAUUUGGAGGACUAUAAGAAGGAGACGGUGUUUUUGGAGGCGUUGGAAUAUAGGGUGGUUGGUUACGAGGAGAAGGAGCAUUUGGAGGACUAUAAGCUGGAGAAGGUGUUUUUGGAGGAGUGGGAACAUUUGGAGGACUAUAAGAAGGAGAAGGUGUUUUUGGAGGUGUAGGAACAUAGGGUGGAUGGUUACCCGGGGAAGGAGCUAUUGGGGGGGCGUAAAUAGGAGAAGGUGUUUUGGGAGGUGUUGGAACAUUAGGAGGAGUAUAAACAGGGGAAGGAGUUUGUGGAGGAGUUGGAAUAAAUGGAGGAUGAUUAGUAGGUGAAGGUGCUUUAGGAGGAACAUAGGGAGGACUGUGAAUAGGAGAAGGUGUUUUUGGAGGGGUUGGAACAUAAGGUGGAUAAGGAAUUUUUGGAGGAGUUUGAGGAGGUGUUGGAACAUAAGGUGCUUUUGGAGGAGUAAUUGGAACAUAGGGAGUGUUUGGAGGUGUUGGAGGAUAAUAAGGAGGUGGCUCUCUCACAGCCAACACCACAAUAAUCAAUUUCUGACCCUUUUCACAAUUACCAUCUUUCCCACUAAUGAAGUAAAAUGGACCCGAUCGAUCAAACUGAAACUCCGAUUCACUAUCCUCAAACUUCUUGAUCGGGUUCUUCUUGUUACAUUUCUCAUA